RNAcentral lists this unclassified non-coding RNA (762 nucleotides) under Athalia rosae (coleseed sawfly). RNAcentral describes it as "misc RNA ENSAEAG00005005777.1". The record is from RNAcentral. Lineage: Eukaryota; Metazoa; Arthropoda; Insecta; Hymenoptera; Athaliidae.
GCCAUUUUUGCGACACAUUUCACAGCCCUCAGUGCAUGCAGAGUUCAGGACUGAAAACAUCAACUUGAUGAAACGCAGCAUCCCUUCAAUGCUAUCAACGGGUUUGAGAAGCAUAAUCCCCAUAUUGCGGUACAGCAAGAUGCUUCUACUGAGCUCAACAUCGGACGAAAAAAUCAUCUCCACGAUCAAACAACUGUCCACAAAAACUGCAAGAGCAUUUUCUAUUGCAAGUGAUUUAACAUUUGUAACUGUUGCAGAGUUUACAAAGCGUAAAGCGUCGUGAUAAUAUGCAUACUUUUUUUCUUCGUGCAAAAGAAUAUCAAUCCUAGAUAGGAAUGCCUUGAUUAUAUUACAGUGGUUGAAUUCUGCUUUUUGUACGAUUUUGAUUGAUGGAGGAUAAAGUUUUGUUAAAUACUUGAGCGUUCUGCAGAUAACAUACUGCCCAUGGGUAUUGGCAACUACUUCCAGGAUUCUAAAUUCACUACUUAUAAGCUUCAGAAUUGUAAUCCAUUCAUUUUCAGUUAUGAAUUCAACUCGUGAUUCGUCGAUUAACUCACACACAGCUGUAUGCCAUAAACUUGCUAUCUUAGGGUACAUGUCCCAAUGCGAUGCGGACAGAUUGUUGACAAGACUUCCUGGAAAAGACCACUCCGUAAUUUUCAUUGCUUCAUUGAAAAGUUUCAUAGCGAUCAAAUUCUUCACAAUGUGGUAAAUACACGAGAAAUACUUCAUCAAAUCUGGUAUUUCGGUAAAAAAUUUGCA